This 223-nucleotide long non-coding RNA is filed under the name Setaria italica (foxtail millet). RNAcentral describes it as "long non-coding RNA (SITA_LNC001368)". The record is from RNAcentral. Lineage: Eukaryota; Viridiplantae; Streptophyta; Magnoliopsida; Poales; Poaceae.
AAUUUUGGGGCUGUGGUUUAGCUGUUGGGUUGUGCAAUCCGAUUUUUCAAAAUAUGGUGCUUGGAAAGUCGGCACUUCUCGAAUUAAUCGACAUGUUGUAGUGUUUAUUAAUACUAGCUGGUACUCUAGAGUCCAGAUUUAGUUUUAAAAGACCAAUAUGGUGUAGGAAUUCAGCACCAGCUAUGUGCAAUUGUGCAUUAUGGCUCGUCUAUCUUUUUCCCAC